This 534-nucleotide long non-coding RNA is filed under the name Selaginella moellendorffii. RNAcentral describes it as "long non-coding RNA (SMOE_LNC001661)". The record is from RNAcentral. Lineage: Eukaryota; Viridiplantae; Streptophyta; Lycopodiopsida; Selaginellales; Selaginellaceae.
CCGAAUAACAGAGCACUAAAGCAAGGCGCUAAGGCAGGGAAGUGUCUCCUAAACCUUAUGACCUGAUGAAUCCCCAUGUCAUGGGGUCAUGUGGCAUCUAUGUGUAACACAUUGUUCAUAUUAUGGGGACAUCAUUGACCCAUCGGCUAAGAUCCAUGGGGCAUCCAUGAGGCAUCCAAAUGACAUUUAAUGCUGAACCAAUAGAAAACUGCCACAUGCACACUGUAUUGUGAGUGAAAUCUACCACAGUAAAACUCACCUUUUUAUGAAUUGCAUGCCAUAGUUUUCAGUGGUGCACUGCCCAAACCCAUUCUUCAAUAAACAUACAGAGAUCGAGCAAGGAGAGCUGAACCAAGUAGUCUCAUUGAACUAGACAGCAGCACGAUCAUUUAGUUAAAAUCUUGCUGGAUUCUGAGAGUGGGAGGAGCAAAAUCCGAUGCCAGCAGGACGAGGGGGCAGCCCACUACACAUGACGUCAGGCGCUUUCUACGCCACUUUCAUCUCCUCACAUAAGACCCUCAUUACCAAGCUAGG